AAAUCUGGUAGAGGCUGUGUGGCCACCUGGUCCCAGCAGACCCCAGUGAACAACCACAUUUGCUGGUGCUGGAACAAGGUCAUUAAGGGUGAAGCCUGGAGCCAGAUGUG
Molecule: ribosomal RNA, 110 nt
Organism: Panthera pardus (leopard)
Lineage: Eukaryota; Metazoa; Chordata; Mammalia; Carnivora; Felidae
Source: Ensembl